Molecule: ribosomal RNA, 397 nt
Filed under: uncultured bacterium
Lineage: Bacteria
Description: bacterial SSU rRNA
Rfam family: Bacterial small subunit ribosomal RNA
Source: RNAcentral
UAUUGCACAAUGGGGGAAACCCUGAUGCAGCGACGCCGCGUGAGUGAAGAAGUAUUUCGGUAUGUAAAGCUCUAUCAGCAGGGAAGAAAAUGACGGUACCUGCUUAAGAAGCCGCGGCUAACUACGUGCCAGCAGCAGCGGUAAUACGUAGGGGGCAAGCGUUAUCCGGAUUUACUGUGUGUAAAGGGAACGUAGACGGCAGCACAAGUCUGGAGUGAAAUGCCGGGGCUUAACCCCGGAACUGCUUUGGAAACUGUGCAGCUAGAGUGCAGGAGAGGUAAGUGGAAUUCCUAGUGUAGCGGUGAAAUGCGUAGAUAUUAGGAGAAACACAAGUGGCGAAGGCGGCUUACUGGACUGUAACUGACGUUGAGGCUCGAAAGCGUGGGGAGCAAACAGG